AUUGAACGCUGGCGGCAGGCCUUACACAUGCAAGUCGAGCGAGCGGCGGACGGGUGUGUAAUGUCUGGGAAACUGCCCGCUGGAGGGGGAUAACUACUGGAAACGGAAGCUAAUACCGCACACCAUCAGAUGUGCCCAGAUGGGAGUAGCUAGUGGGUGGGGUAACGGCUCACCCAGGCGACGAUCCCUAGCUGGUCUGAGAGGAUGACCAGCCACACUGUGACUGAGACACGGUCCAGACUCCUACGGGAGGCAGCAGUGGGGAAUAUUGCACAAUGGGCGAAAGCCUGAUGCAGCCAUGCCGCGUGUAUGAAGAAGGCCUUCGGGUUGUAAAGCACUUUCAGCGGAGAAGCGUUACCCGCAGAAGAAGCACCGGCUAACUCCGUGCCAGCAGCCGCGGUAAUAC
This 406-nucleotide ribosomal RNA is filed under the name uncultured bacterium. RNAcentral's name for it is "partial 16S ribosomal RNA". It matches the Rfam family "Bacterial small subunit ribosomal RNA", at positions 30 to 526 of the family's 1533-position model. The record is from RNAcentral.